Molecule: long non-coding RNA, 320 nt
Filed under: Androctonus crassicauda
Lineage: Eukaryota; Metazoa; Arthropoda; Arachnida; Scorpiones; Buthidae
Source: RNAcentral
UUUACUAUUACUAAAGAUCAAUAAAAUGCAUUUUUUUCGUUCUUUAAAACUCUCUCACUGUAACUUCUAUGUUGUUUGCUAUUUAAAAUUUACUUAUAGUACAUCAGCAGGUCAUAAAAAUGUUAAUGUGGGUAGCUUGUUUUCGUGCCACAGUGCCAAUAUUGUGUGCAUGCACUUUGAUGUUUUUCUCAUUCCUUACAAAAAUAUAAAACUUUAUUUUCCUGUUUUUGUUGCAAUUACUGUUUAAUUUGCUUUUCUACAUAUCUGCUAAAACAAAAUGCUAAAACAGUGUAUUAAGCAAUAUUUUUAAUAACUUGAGG